CUCGUCUCAGCCUCGCUCUCAAUGUCCCCUGCCACUGUCUCCAUCACGGUGCUCCGUGCCUCAAACUCUCCUACAGCGUCCCCUGUCCCAGUCUCUUCCAUAAUGUCCCCUCCCUCCAUCUCCCUCUCAACUUUCUCAUGGUUAUCUCCCUCGAUCUCAAAUACUCCAUCAACUCCAAAUGAAUGUUCUCUGUUGAGAUGUUGACUCGGUCUCAUCCAAUUUGUUAUAGUAUCGACCUUCCUAUUUAUCUCUUCAUAUUUAUCGGAUAACCUCUCCACGUGGUGCAACAAUUGUUUCAACAUAUCGCCGUAAUCCCUA
Molecule: long non-coding RNA, 318 nt
Filed under: Olea europaea (common olive)
Lineage: Eukaryota; Viridiplantae; Streptophyta; Magnoliopsida; Lamiales; Oleaceae
Description: long non-coding RNA (OEUR_LNC006256)
Source: RNAcentral